This is a long non-coding RNA of Hypanus sabinus (Atlantic stingray), 835 nucleotides long. RefSeq lists it as uncharacterized. Lineage: Eukaryota; Metazoa; Chordata; Chondrichthyes; Myliobatiformes; Dasyatidae. The record is from RefSeq and is a predicted model, not a curated record. The transcript has 3 exons.
GGAGAUGCUGUUGUCAAUCUGAAGUGACAGGGGUCUGCAAGUGAGGACAUGGAGGAUCCUGUGUAAAGCAUUACAGUUUUCCAAAAGUGAAAAGAAGAAAAAGCAGGGCAAAUUCCAAACAUUCAAGAAGCUGUUUGGUAAAAGAAGGAAAGUGCCUCCAACAUUUGCUGAAAGAGUAAAUCUAAAAUCCUGUCACUCAUCCGGGGAUGUUCGAAAUGGCAUUGGAUCAGUUACUGAGGAAUCAGAAGAAGAAUUAAGUUGUGGGAAGCAAGAUGGCGGCAUGACACAGCGCGCAGUGGCCACUCCAGGAAUGAAUAUCUGUUAUCUGUAAGUAGGGGCCAUGUACAAUCCUGAUUUGAUGGAGACGGACCUGUGAAGCACGGAGGAACAUCUGGUGAAACUUUUGAAAUGCCUGUUUCGCUGCCGCUGCUGCUGUGCAAUCGGAAAAAUCUCAGUGAGGAAGGCCCCGAAUCCUCGGCUUUGCCUGUCGUUUGGCGGCCAUGGCCGGGGUCGAAGUGCUCGGCAGAGAUGGUGCUUGGUGCUCGGUGUCAGAGGGCUGGUCGGAGGCUCGAAGAUUUUGGACAGACUCGGAGUUGGCUGUGGUCGGAACUCCCAAAGUGCUGUAUCAGCAAGCUGCGGCGCUGGAGGGUCACGGCAGGGAGAGUUUUUCUCCUUCUACCAUCUGCGUGAGAUGAUGGGCUGUUGGGACUUUGAGACUUUCUUUUAAACCGUGCCAUGGACUGCUCUUUAUCAGAUUACGGUAUUGCUUUGCACUGUUGAAACUAUGUGUUAUAAUUAUGUGGUCUUCAUCAGUUAGUCUUUUAUCAAUUAUGGU